UACGUAGGGUGCAAGCGUUGUCCGGAAUUAUUGGGCGUAAAGAGCUCGUAGGCGGUUUGUCACGUCGGAUGUGAAAAUCCGGGGCUUAACCCCGGACCUGCAUUCGAUACGGGCUGACUAGAGUUCGGCAGGGGAGACUGGAAUUCCUGGUGUAGCGGUGAAAUGCGCAGAUAUCAGGAGGAACACCGGUGGCGAAGGCGGGUCUCUGGGCCGAUACUGACGCUGAGGAGCGAAAGCGUGGGGAGCGAACAGG
RNAcentral lists this ribosomal RNA (253 nucleotides) under uncultured bacterium. RNAcentral's name for it is "partial 16S ribosomal RNA". It matches the Rfam family "Bacterial small subunit ribosomal RNA", at positions 524 to 776 of the family's 1533-position model. The record is from RNAcentral.